AGAAUCAACGCUGGCGGCGUGCCUAACACAUGCAAGUCGAACGAGAAAGUGGAGCAAUCCAUGAGUAAAGUGGCGACCGGGUGAGUAACACGUGACUAACCUACCUUCGAGUGGGGGAUAACCUCGGGAAACCGAGGCUAAUACCGCAUAACAUCGUGAGAUCAAAGCAGUAGUGCGCUGGAAGAGGGGGUCGCGGCUGAUUAGCUAGUUGGCGGGUAAUGGCCCACAAGGCGAAGAUCGGUA
RNAcentral lists this ribosomal RNA (243 nucleotides) under uncultured bacterium. Its description in RNAcentral is "partial small subunit ribosomal RNA". It matches the Rfam family "Bacterial small subunit ribosomal RNA", at positions 26 to 285 of the family's 1533-position model. The record is from RNAcentral.